Molecule: ribosomal RNA, 487 nt
Filed under: uncultured bacterium
Lineage: Bacteria
Description: bacterial SSU rRNA
Rfam family: Bacterial small subunit ribosomal RNA
Source: RNAcentral
AUUGAACGCUGGCGGCAGGCCUAACACAUGCAAGUCGAGCGGUAGAGAGGUGCUUGCAUCUCUUGAGAGCGGCGGACGGGUGAGUAAUGCCUAGGAAUCUGCCUAGUGGUGGGGGAUAACGUUCGGAAACGGACGCUAAUACCGCAUACGUCCUACGGGAGAAAGCGGGGGAUCUUCGGACCUCGCGCCAUUAGAUGAGCCUAGGUCGGAUUAGCUAGUUGGUGAGGUAAUGGCUCACCAAGGCGACGAUCCGUAACUGGUCUGAGAGGAUGAUCAGUCACACUGGAACUGAGACACGGUCCAGACUCCUACGGGAGGCAGCAGUGGGGGAAUAUUGGACAAUGGGCGAAAGACCUGAUCCAGCCAUGCCGCGUGUGUGAAGAAGGUCUUCGGAUUGUAAAGACACUUUAAGUUGGGAGGAAGGGUAGUAACCUAAUACGUUGCUACUUUGACGUUACGACAGAAUAAGCACCGGCUAACUUACGUG